Molecule: ribosomal RNA, 484 nt
Filed under: uncultured bacterium
Lineage: Bacteria
Description: partial 16S ribosomal RNA
Rfam family: Bacterial small subunit ribosomal RNA
Source: RNAcentral
AUUGAACGCUGGCGGCAUGCCUAACACAUGCAAGUCGAACGGGUGAAGGUAUCUUGCUCCUGGGUUCGGCGGCUGACGGGUGAGUAAUUCCUAUGAGGCUGCCUAGUAGUGGUGGAUAACGUCCCUAAACGGGCGCUAAUAGCGCAUACGACCUGGGGGAGCGAGUGAGGGGUCGUUCGACCCCACGCUGCCAGAUGAUCCUAGGUCGGAUUAGCUAGUUGGUGGGGUAAAGGCCUACCAAGGCGACGAUCCGUAACUGGUCUGAGAGGAUGAUCAGUCACACUGGAACUGAGACACGGUCCAGACUCCUACGGGAGGCAGCAGUGGGGAAUAUUGGACAAUGGGCGAAAGCCUGAUCCAGCCAUGCCGCGUGUGUGAAGAAGGUCUUCGGAUUGUAAAGCACUUUAAGUUGGGAGGAAGGGCAGUAAGUUAAUACCUUGCUGUUUUGACGUUACCAACAGAAUAAGCACCGGCUAACUUCGUG